Daphnia pulex (common water flea) is the source of this 777-nucleotide long non-coding RNA. RefSeq lists it as uncharacterized. The record is from RefSeq and is a predicted model, not a curated record. The transcript has 2 exons. NCBI's taxonomy places the organism in Eukaryota, Metazoa, Arthropoda, Branchiopoda, Diplostraca, Daphniidae.
UCUUGUUCUUGGUAAGUUUUGCUUUAUAAAUAAUUCCUGUAUGAUUCAUGAACUGAUUUUAAAUUAUGCAGAUUACAAAGAUGGGGUAACCCCAAACAAAAAGUAUCGGAAAAAAAACCACCUCUCCAUUAUCAAACAAUGGAUGCCAUAAACAACCAGAAGAGAAACUUGAUGGUCGAACAACAUCUGAUGUGAACAGUGCUGAAGUCACUCUUGCUGGAGAGAAUGGUCUGGAACACACAACCCAAGGAACAAGAGGUGAAAAUUUUAAAAAACUAAAGCUAAACCUGUAUCAAGGAAAAUGCUAAUUUCAGAUCCCGUUUCUGCCUAAGACUGUUAUCUGGUAAAGGUAAUAUGUGUUACUUGUGUGAACAUCUCGAAAAGAUUCACUUGGACAUUGGAGUAUAUGUCAAGGCAAACAGUAAUUGAAAGAAUGUCCGCAAGAAAGAAGAAAAUUUAAAUGAAAUCAAAAGUGCUGAAACAAAAAAUUCAACGGAAAGAACUUGUUGUCAAGAAUCUUCGACUAGCAAUUAAAAAUGUCAGGAAAAAUGUCACUGCUGCUUGCGAAAAGGCAAUAAGUAAUCAGUUUCUUGGGCUUAACGACCAGGUAUAUCAUGCUCCCAAUUACUAUUCCCCUCUAUGACGAGUACGUUUGUUAGAUUCCAAAAUUUUAACUAUUUUUCUACCAAUGACCAAUAAUAACGACAACACUACUUAUUUUUUUAAAUUUCUUUGAUUGAAAUCAAUAAAUUGUAAUUGAUUUUACGUUAUUACAAA